Molecule: ribosomal RNA, 492 nt
Filed under: uncultured bacterium
Lineage: Bacteria
Description: partial 16S ribosomal RNA
Rfam family: Bacterial small subunit ribosomal RNA
Source: RNAcentral
AGUGAACGCUGGCGGUAGGCCUAACACAUGCAAGUCGAACGGCAGCACAGUAAGAGCUUGCUCUUACGGGUGGCGAGUGGCGGACGGGUUAGGAAUACAUCGGAAUCUACUUUUUCGUGGGGGAUAACGUAGGGAAACUUACGCUACUACCGCAUACGACCUACGGGUGAAAGCAGUGGAUCUUCGGACCUUGCGCGAUUGAAUGAGCCGAUUUCGGAUUAGCUAGUUGGCGGGGUAAAGGCCCACCAAGGCGACGAUCCGUAGCUGGUCUGAGAGGAUGAUCAGCCACACUGGAACUGAGACACGGUCCAGACUCCUACGGGAGGCAGCAGUGGGGAAUAUUGGACAAUGGGCGCAAGCCUGAUCCAGCAAUACCGCGUGGGUGAAGAAGGCCUUCGGGUUGUAAAGCCCUUUUGUUGGGAAAGAAAAGCAGCAGGUUAAUACGCCGCUGGUCUGACGGUACCGAAAGAAUAAGCACCGGCUAACUUCGUG